GCAUGGUGGGAUUAACCUACUAACCCAGGGCUCGGCCGGGACGCUGUGGCCUGUGGCGAGGUGCCUGGCCUUCUGCCAACCAACUAACCCACUAACCAGGCCCGAGCAUGCCCUACUAACCACCGCCCCCCCCGCCCCCCCGCCCCUCGCAGCCAGAUCCUACUAACC
Capra hircus (goat) is the source of this 168-nucleotide unclassified non-coding RNA. The record is from Ensembl. NCBI's taxonomy places the organism in Eukaryota, Metazoa, Chordata, Mammalia, Artiodactyla, Bovidae.